RNAcentral lists this long non-coding RNA (208 nucleotides) under Elaeis guineensis (African oil palm). RNAcentral describes it as "long non-coding RNA (EGUI_LNC052350)". The record is from RNAcentral. Lineage: Eukaryota; Viridiplantae; Streptophyta; Magnoliopsida; Arecales; Arecaceae.
UACCAGUGCAUUCCACCUAUCAGAGUCGACUCAUUACUUCAAAAGCCGACUCCUAAACAUCCUAAACUUAAUUUUUUUUUAAUUUUUAGCUUAUUUUUGUUCAGGGGUCUACUUCUAUGCUUCUGGGGUCGACUUCACUAAGUCAAAUACAUGAAAUUUCUUAUUUGAAUUAUUUUGACUUAGCUUCUUUGAGGAAAUUUGUCCUAUG